CUUUCUUUCUUUCUUUCUUUCUUUCUUUCUUUCUUUCUUUCUUUCUUUCUUUCUUUCUUUCUUUCUUUCUUUCUUUUCCGUUUUGUAAAUUUUUCGAAGAGCCUCUCAAAUGUGACCAGACUAGUAAUGAAGAGGCUGAGAGGAAAUCGAUAAGGCAGCGGAGUGAGCAAAAACGAAUGAGAAUCCGUAGCUGAAUCUAACUACGUCCACUUGACAGAAGGGAGUGUGUGCGCCAAGCCCCUGCACCCCAAUGCCUGGCAAGCUCCCGGUGCCCUGGAGGCAACAACAAACAACGGAUAUUACAUCAUAAAUAACAGCGCUGGAGAUGUACCCCACACAGUGCCGGUUCGCGUCUGCUGCAGGACAUUGCAAGAGACAACCAGCUCCAUUUCCUACUCCCCAGCUUUCCCGGAGCAUCUGCAAGAGAGGAGCCUCCCGUCUAUCUGAAGAGACACUUUCCAUCCCCCAAGGAACAUGGCAGCCCAGAGCACCUGGAAAUGCGGGACUUCAUUCUGCAGUGUGGCCCAGCAACCAGGUUGAAUUGAGACCAAGGCUGGCUUCGAAGGUUGCAUGAAUACAUCUGCCAGAGCAGGUGUGUCACAGAGCCAGCUGAAAUGGGAUUUUUUCAGUGCAGGAUUUUAACGGGAUACCAUCAACUUGAACUCUCGUCAGCUUCCAGAAGAGAGUUAAAAGUAAUUCCAGGUGUUAGUUGGCCCUUAUCUUGCUCUGACAAUUUUAUUGUGGUUUUACAAUCAAAUGUUUCCUAUUUUUGAAAAUAUUUUGUUUUUGUGUGAAAGACCCAAAGGCAAACAACAAUGGAAACUGAUUGUGCAGGGGAAACAGUGAAAGUGAGUGUGCAGAAAAUGCUGAGCAAGGCACAAAUUAAAGAAACAGGUGAGGGAUGGAAGAGAGACAGAGAGAGAGGGAAAAAUAUUCUAAGGUCUCUUAUUUACAGUAACCUUAUUGGAACAACAACAAAACAGAAAUGAGAUUUUAAAUGACAGUCUCUUUAGUUGGGCUGAAUAUUUCAAAGUCUCUCAAUCUUCUGGCUUCAGGGCAUAGGAGGAUUACUGCCUGCAAUCAGGAGGAAAUUUCCCCCUCUUAUUAAAGCAUUUCACAAUUGGGUGCAUUAUGCCUCUGGUGCAUCCAUCACUUCAUGGAUUGUCACUGGAGACAGGAUACUAGACGAGCUGGACCCGGUCUAUGUUGGUACAGCAGUCUUCAAAGGAGCAGGCUUGGAGCUCAUGCAUUUGCCGUGGGCAAAUAUGGUUGUUGCAUAGUGAUAGGUGGGGAAAGUAAUUGUGUGUCCUUGACUUUUGAUUCCUUUGAUGAGAUCAAAUUCAUCAGGGACUGGGGUCUAUGAGUUUUACUGGGCCGUCCACUUCAAAGUAACCUGUAGGAUUGGAGUCUGUGUGGUGGCCAUCUAUAGCUUGUAUCCUUGAGCAAAUGUAAUAUCUGGAAUGACCUACCUAAAGCAGGCUCCCUAUUAGAUUGUCACGCCAGCCCCCACUGCGCCCCUGAAGCGUUAGCAAAUGGGUAGCUGGAAAUCCUGAAGCUUCAUUUUCUUUUGUGAAAAUGGAUGUUUGGAAGGGGUGGAGACCUCGGUAUUUGUGUAGACAGAUGCUGCUACACCGUGUGGAGGAGCUAGUGUUCCAAAACGGUCUCUCUGCUAUGCGCGCACACACACACCCAGACACACAGUGAGGCAUUAGAAGCAGAUCUGGCAGAUUCAGCCUACUCCCCAGUAGAUAUUUGUGUAUCAUUCAGUUGUGCAAAACCAGGCACCCUCUGCUUCCUGAAGAUGCCAAGGUCUAAAAGAGUAGGGAGCAUUCCAGGCUAGGAAAGAGGGGCAUGGGCAGAGCUGCAAGGUAGCCUGGAGGUCAGGGGGCUGGUGCAUUGAUAGCGUUGUGGUGGGAGAAGCUUGCACAGUGCCUGCCUGAGUGGUGUCUGGGCUCGAGCCACACUUGGCGCACAAGUAUUGUUAGGCUGUGGGGUAGGCCAUCACACCAGCUCCUGGAAGCUGUUCACAUAAUAGUGCCCUUCCAUUCAGGUCAAAUGAGGGAACAGCUAAAUGCUCCUUUGUUUAGGGAUAGAUGAAACAAUGGAAAACCUCCACCCAAGGACUAGACCACGUGCACAUCUGGGCGCUGGCUGGGACGUGCAAUCCAAGGGGUUUUCAUAUCACAUGCUGGGGUGGGGCUGGGGGUUGAUUUGUUUGCAGCUCUGUAAGUGUGUGUGAGGAGAGCCCGCGUGGGAGCACAGAUGCACAGAGAAGGCAACAGAAAAGCCAAAGAAAGUGUCAAGAAAACUGUUGGUGUCAUUAGGCCUAAAUGAACCAAAGUUCCUCCAUGUUUAACUCUAAUCAGCCUCUAAAGCCAGAAAUUGGAAUCUGUAACAACCAGUUAUCAAUUACACCCCCCCCCCCAUACUGGUACCAAGCGGUAAUAAUGAGGCCUGUAUGGCUGAAGGGGAGAUAAUAAAUCA
RNAcentral lists this long non-coding RNA (2484 nucleotides) under Chrysemys picta bellii (western painted turtle). RNAcentral describes it as "lncRNA (ENSCPBG00000004651.1)". The record is from RNAcentral. Lineage: Eukaryota; Metazoa; Chordata; Testudines; Emydidae.